AUUUAUUUAUUAAUUUGUUUUUUUUUUAUUGAUUAUUAAUAAAAAUAAUUUUGAUAUUUUUAGUUUUAGUAAUGUAUAAUGAAAUAAUAUUUUUAAUUAUAGUGUAUUAGUAUUGUAAAAGAAUAUUGAAAUAAUUUGAAAAAUUUUUAUUUUAAAAGAAAAUUUUAUUUAUUGUACCUUGUGUAUCAGGGUUUAUUAAAUAAUGAAUUAUUAUAUUAAUUUUUCUCGAAUUUUAAAGAUUUAAUUGUAUAUAAAAGUUAUUGUAGAAUAACUAUUUUAAAUAUAUAAUUAGAAAUGAAAUGUUAAUCGUUUUAAAAUAUAUCUAGUUUUUUAAGAAAUAAAUUUAAUUUAGUUUAUUUAUUUUAUUAAAUUAAUUUUUUAAUUUAAUAAAUGAAUAAAAUAAUAUUUUAAGGGAUAAGCUUUAAAAUAAAUUUUUAUAUUUUUAAUAAUUAAAAAAUAAUUAUAAGCUUAAAAAUAGCUAUUAUUAAUAAAUUUGUUAUAAUUUAUUUUUUAUUUAAAAUUAUUUAUUUUUAAAUUAAAUUUUUUAUUAAAAUAUAAUUUUUAAUUAAUUAAAAUUAUAAAUUAUGAUAAAAUUAGUAUAUAAAUUUAUAUAAUAUAGUUAAUUUGAUAGGUUUAAAUGAAGAAUUCGGCAAAUUAAAUAUGUUCACCUGUUUAACAAAAACAUGUCUUUUUGAUUUAUAUAUAAAGUCUAGCCUGCCCACUGAAUUUUAAAGGGCCGCGGUAUUUUGACCGUGCGAAGGUAGCAUAAUCAAUAGUCUUUUAAUUGAAGGCUGGUAUGAAUGGUUGCAUGAGAUAUAUACUGUUUUUUUUAAAAUUUUAUAGAACUUUAUUUUUUAAUUAAAAAGUUAAAAUAUAAUUAAAGGACGAGAAGACCCUAUAGAUCUUUAUUUUUAUAAAUUAUAAAUUAUAAAGAAUAUUAAAAUUUAUAUUUUUGAUAAAAUUUUACUGGGGUGGUGUUAAAAUUUAAUAAACUUUUAUUUAUUAUUUACAUUGAUUUAUGAACUUUAGAUCCUAUAUUAUGGAUUAAAAAAUUAAGUUACCUUAGGGAUAACAGCGUAAUUUUUUUAGAGAGUUCAUAUCGAUAAAAAAGAUUGCGACCUCGAUGUUGGAUUAAGAGUUAUUUUUAGGUGUAGAAGUUUAAAGUUUAGGUCUGUUCGACCUUUGAAUUCUUACAUGAUCUGAGUUCAAACCGGCGUAAGCCAGGUUGGUUUCUAUCCUUAAUUAAUUAUUAUAUUGUAGUACGAAAGGACCUAAUAUAAAAAAUAUAAUUUUAAUUUAUUUGAAAAUUAAUAAUUUUGUUU
Molecule: ribosomal RNA, 1322 nt
Filed under: Anopheles ininii
Lineage: Eukaryota; Metazoa; Arthropoda; Insecta; Diptera; Culicidae
Description: 16S ribosomal RNA
Rfam family: Archaeal large subunit ribosomal RNA (bases 1068-1227)
Source: RNAcentral